UUAGCUAUUCAGCUACCCUUAAGCUUAUUAAUGCUCUCAAAAAUGGCAUCCCCCAAAAGAAUUUCCCUUGUGUUGAAGCUACUUUUCUUUGCUUUGCUUCUCAUUGCCUCUACUGUUUCUGCAACCAAUAACAUUCCUUUGCUCCACAAACCACGUAUUCGUAAAAUGAUUGUGGAGUACAAAAAUGUUGGGAAAGGUUUAGUUGUACCAAAUGUAAAGAAACCAACUUCUGAUGAUGUCCCAUGGGGGGGUGGCUAUAUUCCUCCAAUCUUAACCAACCCAUGAUGUGAGCUUUAUGAUUGUUUGGAUGAUCAGCUGUGUUUUAAUAUAUUGUUGAUGUUGUCUUUUUGGGAGCUUCAAUCUUUAAGCGUUCUUAGACCGACAAUAAACUUAAGCAAAUCUGAUAUAUUUCUAUCUUAUAUAUUUGCUUUGUUUUCUCAAUGAAUUACUCAAGCCCUUCCUUCCAAA
Molecule: long non-coding RNA, 468 nt
Organism: Benincasa hispida (wax gourd)
Lineage: Eukaryota; Viridiplantae; Streptophyta; Magnoliopsida; Cucurbitales; Cucurbitaceae
Source: RefSeq, a predicted model, not a curated record